Molecule: ribosomal RNA, 400 nt
Filed under: uncultured bacterium
Lineage: Bacteria
Description: bacterial SSU rRNA
Rfam family: Bacterial small subunit ribosomal RNA
Source: RNAcentral
UAAGGAAUAUUGGGCAAUGGAGGCAACUCUGACCCAGCCACGCCGCGUGCAGGAUGACUGCCCUAUGGGUUGUAAACUGCUUUUGUACGGGAAGAAACCCUCAGAUGCGUUUGAGGUUGACGGUACCGUAAGAAUAAGGAUCGGCUAACUUCGUGCCAGCAGCCGCGGUAAUACGAAGGAUCCAAGCGUUAUCCGGAUUUAUUGGGUUUAAAGGGUGCGUAGGCGGCUUAUUAAGUCAGUGGUGAAAUCCUAGUGCUCAACACUAGAACUGCCAUUGAUACUGGUGAGCUUGAAUAUAGUUGAGGUUGGCGGAAUGUGUCAUGUAGCGGUGAAAUGCUUAGAUAUGACACAGAACACCGAUUGCGAAGGCAGCUAGCUAAACUAUUAUUGACGCUGAUGC